GUUACGGAAGUAGCGGUUUUGGAAUGCGAAGUGUUACCGGAAAUCGAUAUAAAGUCGGAUGCGUUUCAGUCGCCGGAGUAUCGAUCACUCAGAGAGAAAUUCGUGCUUUCCAAACUCCCAGAUUUUCAAGUAAUCGACGAUUACAUAUAUUAUCGUACAGGGUUUUCCGUGUUGGAUUCUGACCCAGCCGACGAGUCGUGGAAAUUAUUUGUUCCCGAAGCCUUGAGACAGGGCGUAAUUAAAGCUGCGCAUGACCAACCUUCCUCUGCACAUUGUGGGAUUGCCAAAUGCCUCGACCAAAUAAGGCAACGAUUUUACUGGCCAAAAAUGGUUAUAGACGUCCGCGAAUAUAUUUCCGCAUGUGAUGUAUGCCAGACCACAAAACAUCCCACACGCUCUCUCAAACCUCCUAUGGGCGCUAGAGUAGUUAGCGAACGUCCCUUUCAACGGUUGUACAUCGAUUUCAUUGGUCCCUUUCCUCGAAGCAGAAGGGGCAACAUAGGAAUAUUUAUCAUCCUGGAUCACUUCUCAAAAUUUACCUUCUUAAAGGCGGUCAAGAAAUUUACUUCACAGAUAGUGAUUGACAUAUUGAGGGAAGAGAUAUUUUCAUGUUAUGGAGUGCCGGAAGUGCUAGUGAGCGAUAACGGUACGCAGUUUAAAAGUAGUGAUUUUUCUAAAUUCCUAUUGAAGUACGGUGUUCAGCACUUAUGUACAGGGGCGUAUGCUCCACAGUCGAAUGCCGCGGAAAGGGUUAACCGAUCGAUUAAUGCCGCGCUCAGAGCGUACGUUCGUACUGACCAUCGUGAAUGGGAUGUGUUCCUUAGUAGCAUAAACUGUUCGUUGAGAAAAUCAAUACACCAAUCAGUUGGCAUGGCACCAUAAUUUGUGGUCUUUGGUCAGCACAUGAUUUCACAUGGCCAAGAUUACAAAAUGUUGCGAGAAGUCGAAUUACUCAACGAGGGUGAGGGAAAAUUGUCAAGAGCUGACGAAUUUCAGAAGAUUCGCUCAAACAUCGAGAAACACCUGACAAAAGCUUACGAGAGAAAUCAACGCACUUACGACCUGAGAUCCAAGC
Molecule: long non-coding RNA, 1075 nt
Filed under: Drosophila guanche
Lineage: Eukaryota; Metazoa; Arthropoda; Insecta; Diptera; Drosophilidae
Source: RNAcentral